Molecule: long non-coding RNA, 407 nt
Filed under: Ananas comosus (pineapple)
Lineage: Eukaryota; Viridiplantae; Streptophyta; Magnoliopsida; Poales; Bromeliaceae
Description: long non-coding RNA (ACOM_LNC031590)
Source: RNAcentral
AAUGCAUGCAACAAUAUAUAUAACAUAUGCUCAAAGAAUGACACAUUAGGCAUAGAGAGAAUUUCAAUGAGUUUGAGAAGCACCACCCACCUCGUAGGUCUAUUUAGGUGCUCCGACGAUUUUCUUGAGAUUUUUAGAUCCUUCGUUCUUUACCUGCGGCAAAACGAAGCCCUAUUAGGCCAUUUUGCCCAUAACUUUACAUACACUUUUCGUAAUGCUUUUCCGAGCGCACCAACGCGUCGGGAAUACCCCCAAUUAGAUUUUUAGAGGGUCAAUUGCACUUGAAAACCCUCAUGAGCAAAAGCCCCAAUUUGGUGCCCUAGCUUCAAUACACAUACAAAACCUAGGGUUUGAUCUCAUUGGGAAGCAAAAGUAGCUUCAUUAUACUCUAAAUAGUCCAUUAGAAC